GUCGAAGGUUAAACUUUGAUAUAUUUUGGUAAUACAAAUUUGCGUGGCAAAUUUGAUUUUGUUUCGGUAUGUCUUGAGGCGGUUCUGACUGUUGAUCGGAAGUGAAACGCAAUGAAGUAAAAUACCAAACAAAAGAUGGCAUUGAAAAGUUCCUGUAUUUGUCUGUAGCAGUCAACUAAUAAAAUGUGAAACGGCGUAUUUAACACAAAACUUGUA
This 216-nucleotide long non-coding RNA is filed under the name Schistocerca americana (American grasshopper). Its description in RNAcentral is "uncharacterized LOC124607406, transcript variant X1". The record is from RNAcentral. Lineage: Eukaryota; Metazoa; Arthropoda; Insecta; Orthoptera; Acrididae.